ACGGAGGGGGCUAGCGUUGUUCGGAAUUACUGGGCGUAAAGGGCGCGUAGGCGGUUUGGUAAGUUGGGCGUGAAAGCCCCGGGCUCAACCCGGGAAUAGCGCUUGAUACUUUGGAGCUAGAGUCCGGGAGAGGAGAGUGGAAUUCCCAGUGUAGAGGUGAAAUUCGUAGAUAUUGGGAAGAACACCGGUGGCGAAGGCGGCUCUCUGGACCGGUACUGACGCUCUGGCGCGAAAGCGUGGGGAGCAAACAG
Molecule: ribosomal RNA, 251 nt
Filed under: uncultured prokaryote
Description: partial 16S ribosomal RNA
Rfam family: Bacterial small subunit ribosomal RNA
Source: RNAcentral